CUUGUUUUGUCCAGCAGAGGGGGCUGCUCGCUAUAUCAGCUUCAUUCACAGUUCUUCUUCUACUAACUACUUGCUCAUGCUAGUUUUAGAGAAAAAAGCUGUGGAAAACUCAGCCAGAAGCUAGAAAGUGUCAAGUGAAUCCACAACAUCACCACAAAUGUAUUUUCAAGCAAGAGGAGUAGCAAGGAUCGGACCAAUACACAGUGUGCGGGGGAAGAAUGGCAGCGGUAGAACAUCAACAGAAGAAAAAGCAUAAAGCCUCUCUGAUUGCCCGUGUUGGUAUGCCCUCUGCCACCACAUUCUUCAAGAAGGUAGAGCCUUCCCAAGAAGAAUAUGAUUUAGCUGUGCAGGAGGGUGUCUUUGCAUAUAUGCUGACAUGGAAGCUUGAUAAGCUGAAGUUUACAUGUGCUAGGACAAAAUGUGAAGCCAUAGUGAGUAAUGUGUUAGUACCAUGGUCAACUACUUUGGUAACAGAGGACCUAGACCAGGUUGAAUUUGUGUCCCUGUCCAUUGAUGCGUCCAAUGAUGGACAUGUAAAGCUGCUGCCAAUAGUCGUCAGAUAUUGUAAGAUAUAUGAUGGCAACACAUCCGUGGAAACAAAACAGCUCGAUUUUGUUGAAUUGAAAGUAGAAACAGCAGAGGAGAUUGCAGCUGAGGUCCUGGUGGUCAUCCAAAAAUGUAACCUGGAAAACAAAGUCGUGGCAUUCUCUGCCGACAACACAAAUGCCAACUUUGGAGGACUGAAUAGGCUGGGGAGGGUCAAUGUCCAUACCAAAGUUAAAAAUGCUCUGCAGUGGAACGGCCAAAACAGACCAAACAUGGCCAAAACAGCUUUGGAUAUGAUUCCCCUUGAUGUUGAGUACCUGCUCACAAAGAUAUUUGGAUAUUUUCAUAUUUUCACCGUCAGAGUAGAAAGACUGAAGAGCUUUCGUAAGUUUGUUGGCCAGGAGUACCAUAACAUUUUAGGACACAGCCAUGUUUACUGCCUGUCCAUGCUCCCUGCUCUAGAAAGAGUGCUGAAAAUGUAUGUGCCAUUGAAAUCAUUUUUUCUUCUGAAGACAAAUGCCUUGUUGUCCUGUGAACAAUGUUUGAAGAUCCACUGAUUGAACUUUGUCUGGCCUUAGUCCA
Molecule: RNA transcript, 1128 nt
Organism: Oncorhynchus keta (chum salmon)
Lineage: Eukaryota; Metazoa; Chordata; Actinopteri; Salmoniformes; Salmonidae
Exons: 3
Source: RefSeq, a predicted model, not a curated record